UUGACUCUAAACAAGCUAGGUGGGAGCUUGGAAAGGAACGGGUCAAACGGAUCAUGGAUGCGAAGAAUGUUUGCGCGAACGCGAGGUGAAUGCCAAGAGUGCCCGGAUGAAGAUCAAGCUCGAUGAGGAACCGAACACAAUAAAAUCUAACACUCGGGAUUAAAGCUUCCGCACGGCGUUACGCCAUAUCUUUUAAACGACGAACUUAUUUAUAUUACGUU
Molecule: long non-coding RNA, 221 nt
Filed under: Helianthus annuus (common sunflower)
Lineage: Eukaryota; Viridiplantae; Streptophyta; Magnoliopsida; Asterales; Asteraceae
Description: sRNA HanXRQr2_Chr04g0178431
Source: RNAcentral